GUGGGGAAUAUUGGACAAUGGGCGCAAGCCUGAUCCAGCCAUGCCGCGUGAGUGAUGAAGGUCCUAGGGUUGUAAAGCUCUUUCAGUGGGGACGAUAAUGACGGUACCCACAGAAGAAGCCCCGGCUAACUUCGUGCCAGCAGCCGCGGUAAUACGAAGGGGGCUAGCGUUGUUCGGAUUUACUGGGCGUAAAGCGCACGUAGGCGGAUCGUUAAGUCGAGGGUGAAAUCCUGGAGCUCAACUCCAGAACUGCCUUCGAUACUGGCGAUCUUGAGUCCGGAAGAGGUGAGUGGAACUCCUAGUGUAGAGGUGGAAUUCGUAGAUAUUAGGAAGAACACCAGUGGCGAAGGCGGCUCACUGGUCCGGUACUGACGCUGAGGUGCGAAAGCGUGGGGAGCAAACAGGAUUAGAUACCCCGGUAGUCC
This 425-nucleotide ribosomal RNA is filed under the name uncultured bacterium. RNAcentral's name for it is "partial 16S ribosomal RNA". It matches the Rfam family "Bacterial small subunit ribosomal RNA", at positions 354 to 796 of the family's 1533-position model. The record is from RNAcentral.